GCCGAUGUAGCUCAGCUGGCAGAGCAGCGGUUUUGUAAACCGCAGGUCGUAGGUUCGAAUCCUAUCGUCGGCU
This 73-nucleotide transfer RNA is filed under the name Endomicrobiia bacterium. RNAcentral describes it as "tRNA-Thr". It matches the Rfam family "tRNA". From Rfam's summary of the family: Transfer RNA (tRNA) molecules are approximately 80 nucleotides in length. The record is from RNAcentral. Lineage: Bacteria; Pseudomonadati; Elusimicrobiota; Endomicrobiia.